GUGCUCACUUCAGCAGCACAUAUACUAAAAUUGGAACGAUACAAAGAGGAUUAGCAUGGCCCCUGUGCCAAACAGACGUGCAAAUUCAUGAACCACUCCGCAUUUUU
Molecule: small nuclear RNA, 107 nt
Organism: Peromyscus maniculatus bairdii (prairie deer mouse)
Lineage: Eukaryota; Metazoa; Chordata; Mammalia; Rodentia; Cricetidae
Source: Ensembl